GAAAGAAAGAGGCAAUUAUUCAAAGAACAUGAUACAGACUAUGACAGAAGCAAAAGUGGGCUGUGGCUAUUUGAAAAUCAGAGCAUCUUUUAAAAGGGAGACGGCAUCUGAACCUUGCCGAGUAGGAAUGUUCCAGAAGUAAGAGAGAUGACUAGGGUUUCAAGAACAAGGACCAGCACCUAUGAAGGCUCUGAGGCACAGACCACUGUGACCUGUGGAGAAGUGAGAUAUUGCCCAUUCGUCCAACUGCCGCUGUCCUGCCAGUAUAUCGUCUGAGAUUACCAUCAGCUAAAUAUUGCAUUGUCUUUGGACAAUUUUCCUACAUUGUGACUCCUCACUACAUUUUCAAUGCUUUUCUAGUCCCAGACAAGCUACAGACUGUUAAUUUACACUUGCUUUUGCCUUGCCUGAGGAAAUUGAAAAUAAAUUUUAAUUUCCUAGUCAAGGGCUACGGGUGCUUUGUGUGGUUUGGAGGAAAAAAAAAUACUGUUAGAUGGAAUUAGGGAAUAUUAGGAGAGUUUCUGAAGUUAGUGAAGGUACACAGUAAUUGAUCACUUGCCCUCAUAGUGAGAGGUCAUUCCAAUGAGCAGAGGUUCUGUCAAUAUCUGAGAUCUGUUUGAUACCUGGCCUCAAUCUGUCGAUCACGCCCAGUAACCAUAUUCAUAGGCUUCAGAUCUGAAUUUUGAAUUGCAUCAGAAGCUUUCCUCUGGCCUCAGAGAUGCCAUUGAGACCAUUCUCAUAGUUAGUCACCACUCACACUACACAAAAUGGAAGAAAAAAACUUCCUUUGGGGCAAAUCAACAAUCUCUGGUAGGAAAAUAAACAAGGAUGCUUUCAGAAUACCAGAAGCCCAAGUCUGAGCAUCUGGAGGCAAAGGAAGAGUAGAGAAGUCUUUGUUGGUGGGACCACUGCCUGUAGGAAUUUAAGGGAACUUGGAUCUUAGGAGUUGCUCAGUUAAGUCCUAGAGAGAGCCUAAGUGGGACUGAUGAGAAGCAGAACAAAUUGCUAUUUCUGAGAAGAAAAACCAACACUUUUGGAUGUUAACUUUUGGAUGUUUGAAUUUUUUGUUUUAGUUUUUAUUCCUUUUGGGAAAAGCUAUUUUUAUCGCAAAAAAAUAUGUAAAGCUAGCAACAAAAUAGUUGAAAGUAUUUAUUGUGUACCUACUGUGUGAUAAUAGCAGCUGGGUUUCAAACACAAGUGAAUAUGAAAUAAAUGAGCCCUAGAUGCACAAAAA
RNAcentral lists this long non-coding RNA (1234 nucleotides) under Homo sapiens (human). RNAcentral's name for it is "HSALNT0096870". The record is from RNAcentral. Lineage: Eukaryota; Metazoa; Chordata; Mammalia; Primates; Hominidae.